Prolemur simus (greater bamboo lemur) is the source of this 107-nucleotide small nuclear RNA. The record is from Ensembl. Lineage: Eukaryota; Metazoa; Chordata; Mammalia; Primates; Lemuridae.
GUCCUCACUCUGGCAGCACAUAUACUAAAAUUGGAACAGUAUGGAGCAGAUUAGCAUGGCCCCUGCACAAGGAUGACAUGCAAAUUUGUGACGCACUCCAUAUUUUU